Molecule: long non-coding RNA, 3623 nt
Organism: Dermacentor andersoni
Lineage: Eukaryota; Metazoa; Arthropoda; Arachnida; Ixodida; Ixodidae
Source: RefSeq, a predicted model, not a curated record
UCUCCAGUGACAGCUGUCACAGCACAACUCAGAAGAAGCUUGAAUGGAAGCUGGAAUUAAGCUAGUGUAUGUGAAUUAAACCACUGGCACUGUUUGUGGCAGCCGUUAAUACAUUGCAACUUAGCAACAGUUCGACGUUUUCUAAAUAUUUUUUUUUUUCAUCAAUUCACCUGCAACAACAGCAACCUUCUCGGGUGUCAGUGGCUCUUUAGGCAGUUCACCUAGGCAUUUUUUUCGUGGCGCCACCAUGCCUCUGACGCUCUUCUUUUCUAUGACAUCUUUUCCCCACACAGCUUCAGCCGUGUCCUUUACAACAAGUGUUGGCUUGACGUUGCACAUGAUCUUUAAAGCAGCUUCAGCCCGUACAACUCCCUUGGCAAGGUGGAACUGUGAGAAGAAGCAAUAUAAUACAUACAAAGUCAUAAUGAGGCAGCAGACCAGGAGGAAAGUGAAAGAAAUUUUAAAAUAAUAGAAGGCAUCAGCUUUCUGCCUAAGGUCAAAGGUGUACUUAGCUGGAAUUGUGGUAAUGGCUUAUUGACUAAUCUGCUUAUACUCAUUGCCAUCAUCUAAGUACGUGAAGUUAGCAGCUGUUGUUGCAUUGCUGCUGUUUGGCCUGCAAAAUAAAGGUCACUUGAUUACGUUUUUUUUGUUGCGUUCUGCAAAUUAGUAAAAAACUGCACUCACAAUGACAAGAAAUCGAAUGACAACUUUCAAGCCAUUUCGACUGCUGCUUUUGUAGAAAAAAAAGGAGUACACACUUGUACCAAUCACUUUGUAAAAGGACAUCAAAUGUGGUACAUAUCUAUACCUAAGUAUUUUUGGUGUAUAAGGAAGCUUGCAUUGAACUUGAAGAUUGCUUGAAGAAGUAUUGAGUCUGAUAAAAAAAAGCUGAAAACCUCAAUGCUGCCAAUAUGAGCCUUGUCGAACAGCACACCUGCACAUGUAAAAACACUCGGAACACCAAGGAGGUCUAUCAGUGAAAGAUGAAAACACACUGAAUAAUCUGUUUGAUUGUUGGGGAGUAUUCAGCAUGCUAAAAUAUGGUACAUAGGUGUACCCUUGUCCAUAGAUCCGCACUUGAAAAGAGUGGGAUGAUUCUGACCCCCUCAAGCCAUAAAUGGUUAAAUGAAGUAUCACUGAGUACACAAAGGAAGUGAGCUAAAAGGAUGCAGUUUUGUACUUCGUAGAAAUAAGGUUCAAUAUUGCAGCGUUAAUAUUUGUACUAUUUUAUCACAAUUGGUUAACAGCAUAUCACAGUCUACGCAUAUCACAGUCUACGCAUAUCACAGUCCACGCAUAUCACAUCACAGCAUAUCACAAGCAAUUAUGCAGUUCUGGAGAAAUGAAAAUGAUAAAAUUGAGAAUUUCGGAUUCUUUGUAUGGAUAAGCGAGGUAUUAAAAGCAUAGCACUAAUAAAGACAAACAAAUAUAAAAAAUCAACAUAAACAAAAGCUACGUGCCCACCUCCUAUAUGACUCCCUUGGCACCAAAACUGAAAAAUGGGGCUAUAAACACUGCAUUAAUUGACUUACAGGUUAAUCCAUUUCUUUCUCCAGUUCUGCAACAAGCUGCAUAAUUUUAACUUUACAUUUUGAUGCCAUAUUACGUGGCAUCUUAUCCAAACUUAGGCCUACAGACAAACCAAACGCCUCAUUGCCAUACAUUCUUUUCUCAAGUUGGCCCAAAAGUUGAUCUUCAAAGCUGUCUGUCUUGUCUUCCUUUUUUGGCUUGGGUGGAGCGUCACUAUAUCUCUCGGUUACCGAUGUUGGUGGUACUGCCAAUGAUGCUUGCAUUGUUGGUGAUGCUAGUUCGGGUGGAGUGUCCAGAAAACUUUCAACUGCUGAUGGUGACAGUGGUGUGCUGUACAUUCCUGACAAAAUGCUUUCAGCGGUCUCGCCAACAUCAUCACUACCCGAGUAGGAAGGGGCUUCCGUGCUGCAUGUAGUUCUGCAGAGAAAAGGCUGACAUUAUUCGAGCAAAAACAGGCGUGCAAUUGUAAGGCCAAACGAAAUUGGUUUUGCAGCCAUUUCAUUUGGCUGCAUCGCUCACUGAGAAUGCUGAAGGCUUCUUUGGAGGAAUAAUAUUGUUUAUAUAUAGAGAAUAAUAUCCUGUAGACACUUCAGAAAAAGAAGUUUUAAAAGUCGUGUGCACAAUCGUAGUUAACCCCAAUGAGACAGGCAAUUCUUUCGAGGUAUUCAGUGUCCAAUUUAUAGUUUCAUGCAAGUACUAAAGCGAUAUGAGAAAAAUAGCACCCUGAACAUUUCGUGCUAAAAAGAAAGAAAAGGGCAGAUGCGGCCAGCUCCAGCAAGCUCGUGCGUCCUUAAUGAACACAAAAAAAAUACAUGGCUUGCACCGACGUCGCAUCCGGUCACCGUGAGACGCCUGUUGGCCUUGCUGACGAACUGCUGCCGGGCCACUCCUUGCUUACUGCUGCCUCUGUCAGCUCGCAUUGUGUUGGUUUGCAACCACUUGCAGCUUCAAUAUGGUUUUGUGUGCAGUUGUUGGCUGCUCCAACCGUAGCGACAGCUCCAGGCAAAAAGAAGCCUACUAAUGCGAACUUUUUCUGAAUUCCGAAGAUGGUCGUAGACAUGUGCGCACGCCCUAAGACACUCAGCACAAAUCUGCGCACGUUGUGGCUGGCUCGCAUUAAUCGAGCCGAUCUGGACCCCCAGAACCUCAAUUUACAUGUGUACGGAGCGCACUUCGUGACAGGUGCCGUGAACUAAAUGUUCACGAAAACGUGGCAAGCAAGGACUACACCCUGAAGAAGUGAAUGUUUUGGAUUCGCAAGGACGCCAUUCGAUUUGUUUGAUAGCAUGAACCCAGGCGGGCCCGUCGCUGCAUCUCGGCUACAGCAUUAGGCAAGCAGAUGUGGAUCGCCACGAGCGCAGCAAGCGACGACGGUAGAGAAAGCGGCGUGCCGAGGCCGAGGCAACCAAUCCGGCCGCGCCAGAACAGCCGUGCUGUGUGUCCGCAGCCGUGCCUGAUCCCCCAUCACCACAAGCCGAGGAGGCUGACGCCACAGAAGAAACUGGUGUUUAUGUACAGACCAACCAUGUUGCAACUUGUACUGUUUUCGGCUCCUUGAAAACAAGCACAGCUCUCCGCCCGCGUCGCGAGCAAGGGUACGAGGAGCAGCUGCACCAAAAAACAUGGAAAGAAGUUUGUAAAGUGCUGCACUGGUGCGGUAUAUGAAAUACCUUUGACCUGCGGGAAAACUGUGGGCCAAAUGGGUAGAUGCGUGAAUAACCAUCCAGCUGAACAUGUGCGGUCGCUGAAAGAAGGAGGUGCGCAUCUUUCGCAACAUUGUGCAACUUGCACUGCGUGUGACUGAGCGGCAGAACAUUCGCCACAAAAACAAUGCCAGUACAGCAAGAAGUGCGAACCACGGUUCGGAGAGAGAAAGAUUCUUGGCAGGAGCAGAGGCACGUGAGGUUUUGAAAGCAUUCUAUAUAAAGAAAAGAGGAAAAAACUGUGUUAGUGAUACUUCCGUGACCCUCUUCAAAAGCGAAAUCUAGAACGGUUUGGCAGAUGAUGCAUUAUGGUCAUUGUGCGCAUGUCUGUGAUUUUCCUUAUAUUUGCUGAUUUUUCAGUGAAUAAAGAUAGAUGAAGUUGGCGCUUGU